CGGCUCCAUGAGCUUCACAUCCUCCUGCUAAGGCUGAAAGGAACAAGAACAAGAGCUGCUGAUGGUUCCCAGUCCUGCAUGCUGAAGGAAGUGUGUGCUUCAGCACUGAUUAAAGUCAUGUAUGAGUUAAUGAGAAGCUUGCAGAGUAUGUGAAGCAAGAGAAAAUCUUUAACCAGCUCUGCUGUUCCUUCUACAUACCACAAACUUGCACGCUGUAACCAGAAGGUGGAUUGAAUAUGUGUGAAAUGCUGCAGUAGGAGACUCUUAAAUCGCAUCACAGGUUAACAGAUUGAUAGCACAGAAGAGCCUCUGAGGUGCUGGAGGUACCAGCAGUGGUGUCAACAUUCCAGUUGUGGGACUUCUAAUUUGAGAAACAUAUUGUCAUAAGGAAUAAGAUCGAGGCUGAAUCCUGCUUGCAUUUAGGUCCAAAUGCAAAAUAUGCUUUGGAAGGAGUCCCCAGGGAACAUUGAGAGUAAUUAAGUAAAAAUAAAACCUUUCACUUCAGCCCCCCCCCUUCUCCUUUUAACACAGACAAGUCAAUGCAAUGCUGUUUUCAUUCCACCAUUUUCAUUAUGUGUCCUGAUAUUUCUUAAUUUUGUAUUGCAUCUGAAAUCCUCGAGUGACUUAUAAUUUCUGUGAUUUGGGGGUAUUUCUAGACCAUACUUUUAAAGAAGUCAUCUCACUGUGUCCCAGAAGGAGCCAUUGAACAGUCAUUCUCAUAAACAGCACUGAACUUCUUACAGCCUCGCUUUUCCAAACACCUUUUUUUUCCCCCCCUGUAAUUUUAAUCCUUAACUAUUGAAUUCCCUUUUCUUUACAUUAAGUAAAUAUUUAUUAAUACCAGUUGAGGGGUUUUUUUUCAUCUUUUUAAAAGAACAGAGCCUUGUCACUAAGAUGAUCCUUUCGUAUUGAGGAGAUGACAUAAAAAAGGAGUGAGGGAGAGUUGUCUUGUGCUGGAAAAUGCCAUUUUUGGAAAACAAUACUAUAGGAAAUGGAAAUGAAAAAUACAUUUUAUGCUGGUGGGAACUUGUAAUGAGGCUAAGAGAGGAUUUGAUGUCCCAGAAAAGCAAUGAUUACAAGGGGAAAAGCGGGACUUUAUCAUCCAUUUGUAAAAGUUCUCGGGCUGAAUAUCCUUUUGGGGAGCUGAAAUUUGGCUCAAGUCUGCUUAUGAACAUCUGUUGAAUGGAAUUUUAAAAAGGCACAGAUUAUAAUCUUAGUUUCUGUUGGCUGUUUAAGGUGAUAAAAUAAAGCAAAAUAAAUGGUUCUGCAAGUACAUUUGGGGAGUUUUUUUGUUAAUAAUGAGGUGGGUGAAUGUUCAGUUGUCUCCACUGCUGGUUACCUGGUUGUAUAUGUGUUUCCAUACAUUUUUCUUCAUUGCAUAUAAAAUAUUCCCUCUA
Molecule: long non-coding RNA, 1397 nt
Organism: Manacus vitellinus (golden-collared manakin)
Lineage: Eukaryota; Metazoa; Chordata; Aves; Passeriformes; Pipridae
Exons: 3
Source: RefSeq, a predicted model, not a curated record